Molecule: long non-coding RNA, 325 nt
Filed under: Rattus norvegicus (Norway rat)
Lineage: Eukaryota; Metazoa; Chordata; Mammalia; Rodentia; Muridae
Description: long non-coding RNA NONRATT002715
Source: RNAcentral
GAAAGAUCUCCCAUGCUCAUGGAUUGGCAGGAUUAAUUUAGUAAAAAUGGCCAUUUUACCAAAAGCAAUCUACAGAUUCAAUGCAAUCCCCAUCAAAAUACCAAUCCAAUUCUUCAAAGAGUUAGACAGAACAAUUUGCAAAUUCAUCUGGAAUAACAAAAAACCCAGGAUAGCUAAAGCUAUCCUCAACAAUAAAAGGACUUCAGGGGGAAUCACUAUCCCUGAACUCAAGCAGUAUUACAGAGCAAUAGUGAUAAAAACUGCAUGGUAUUUGUACAGAGACAGACAGAUAGACCAAUGGAACAGAAUUGAAGACCCAGAAAUG